RNAcentral lists this ribosomal RNA (372 nucleotides) under uncultured organism. RNAcentral's name for it is "partial 16S ribosomal RNA". It matches the Rfam family "Bacterial small subunit ribosomal RNA", at positions 527 to 896 of the family's 1533-position model. The record is from RNAcentral.
GUAGGUGGCAAGCGUUGUCCGGAAUUAUUGGGCGUAAAGCGCGCGCAGGUGGUUCUUUAAGUCUGAUGUGAAAGCCCCCGGGCUCAACCGGGGAGGGUCAUUGGAAACUGGGGAACUUGAGUGCAGGAGAGGAAAGUGGAAUUCCACGUGUAGCGGUGAAAUGCGUAGAUAUGUGGAGGAACACCAGUGGCGAAGGCGACUUUCUGGCCUGUAACUGACACUGAGGCGCGAAAGCGUGGGGAGCAAACAGGAUUAGAUACCCUGGUAGUCCACGCCGUAAACGAUGAGUGCUAAGUGUUGGGAGGUUUCCGCCCCUCAGUGCUGCAGCUAACGCAUUAAGCACUCCGCCUGGGGAGUACGGUCGCAAGACUG